This 2722-nucleotide unclassified non-coding RNA is filed under the name Hevea brasiliensis (rubber tree). Lineage: Eukaryota; Viridiplantae; Streptophyta; Magnoliopsida; Malpighiales; Euphorbiaceae. The record is from RNAcentral.
CUUAAAUAUUAUUAAAAAAAUAUUAAAAUUCAAGCAUGUAGUCCAACAAAUUACCAAUUUUAUCUCAAAAAUCGAAGCAAAAUAAUGGAUCAAAGCAUUUCAGAGUAAGCAAAACUUUAAACCACAGCCAUCAAAGCUAUGAAGGUAAAAGUUUCGGCAGCAACCAGAACCCUCCAACUUCACUUAAAUUAAGAGAGGCAUGUAAUUGGCAGUUUUUUCCUUAGUAAUGUAAGUCUUGACUCGCAUUUUACCUAUAAGUCCCACCAAUGGUUUCACUCUUUUCAUUUCUACAACAUACAGCUAAAAAUUAAGAAGAAAAGGAAAUAAAAAUGAUAACCAAAUUUGUUCUGCAAUAUCCAUUCAAAAAUAAAUUAUUCAACCCUUACACCAACUACUUCUGAUUGAUAAUAGCCCUUUGUAUAACCCUGCCAUCAACUCCCAUGUUCAAUACCACCCUUAAAUUCCCCAUCCUCCGUAGUUAUCUUGAAAAAGACUAGUUAUCAUGCAAUAUUAACAGCAACUGGCUUCCCCCGACCCAUAGCAAAUCCUCUUGUGCCAUCAGGCAUACGGGGCCCUGGAGGUUGCUUCACCAUCACUGGCUGCUCACCAAUAACUGAAUUAUUAGAAGGGGGUGUUCCCACGUGAUUUCCACGGUUAUUAUGAUGGUACUGAGCCCUCCCACGCCCCUUGCCCCGACCCCGAUUGCGUCCUUUUCUAUGUGCACCCUCCUUGUCAUUCACAUGAUCCUCUCCCUGCCCAAGCAAAGGCACCUUAAAACUGAGACAGAUAGUUCAUGUGAAUGAGCAACAUAUUGUUGGCAAGGGUCUUCAUUCCGUUUUUCAUUCAGCUGUUGCUCAGGUGUACAAGCCUCAUCUUCCUCAGAGUACCCUUGCCCAUCAUGUCCCUUCUUUCCCCGAGCUUGGGUAGGUUUUGACAUGUGUUUUAGCAUUAACCGAACUUUAAGACCACUCCAGUUCUCCUCAUCAUUUAGCUCAACUACUGCUUUCUCAGCUAUCUCAACAGACUCAUAUUCCACAAAUGCAUGCAACUGCACAUGACACAAGUUGCAAUGUUAGAUAAGCAUCUCAAUACCAAAUUAAAUAUAUUAUUCAAUACCAAAAGAUUAGCAACACAUAUGAGCUGCUAAAAUAACAAUAGAAUAGCUACAAAAUUCAUGUCUUCAAUGAAAACAAGCCUUGCAUGGCAUUAACUGCCAAUGCUACAAAUUCCAACUGUGUAUUGGCAAUUUGGCAUCGAAGGAUAAACAACACAUCUUUCAUCAUAUCAGGAUCACUGUCUCACUUUACUACUUGCUUCCAUCCAGUCCCCCCCUCCUUCUAAUGCACCUUCCAUUCUCGCAGUUUCAAACUGUCUUAGCAAAUACAGAGCCCACCCAAUGACUCUUAACAUAGGAAACAAAAUAAGAAUUCCCUGUCAUUUCUUGCCUUUUUUUUUUCAACUUUUUUGGCUGGUCUGUCUUCAGGGACAAGAUUCAAAAUCAUGUUAUUUAUCAUUGGCAUCUUUUCAAGCAUGUAAAAUUUAUUCUUCCUUUUUAUAUUUCCAGCUUUGCAGCUCCAGUUAUCCUUGGGCAUCGCCAUUAGAAAACCAGCACAAGACGGUGUAACCAAACAAGGGAAAUUGAGAUUGUUGACAAAUGAAAAAACAUAACAAAAAGCUUAAAAAAUAUGGCAAAGGUGGUCCCAUGUGUUUCAUGUAUGCAUCCAUGAACAUCAAGACAAAUGAACCUUGUUACUGAAAUGCAUUCCAUCAGCUUUUGCAGAUCUAGAUGCUGAAGAGGCCCCACCACCAGAAGUUUGAGGUGGACAGGUACGGAUAGUCUUCACACUUCCAACAGCAGAGAAUAUCUUCAUGAGGUUUUGAUGACAAUGAUCUUCAGGUAAAUUUUCAGCAACAAUUAUGCGAGAUUGCAACUCUUCCACAUCUGAUUGAGUUAAAGGAUGCUGACGUCUAACUUUCUUUCCAUCCUCACUAACUACAAGCUUUGAUGAGUUCCGCAAAAUGGAAGCAAGCUGAGAAUUACUAUUUAUGGCAGCUUUGAUCUUCUUAAAGGAAGCAACCACAGAUAUUGGCACAUAUCCCUCAGCAUCCUUCUGUAUAAACCUCAUCAAAUGAUCAGUAGUUGCCAAAUUUAAAUCACUGAAAUAAUACUCGACUUGAUUCAAAAGUUUCUGCACAGCCUCAUCAGAAAGCCCAUUUCUGUCAGCUUUGGACGCAUGAUCUGAUGAUGCUACAUCCUUCUUCGCAGCCGCCUCCAGUUCUUCCUCUGACUGACCCUUCAUUGAAGCGGGAGCAUAAUGAUUUUGAUUCUGAUGAUGCUGAUUCCCAUGAUACUGCAUAGGCAUAUAGUGACUAUUCUGACCGUGAUGAUGAUUGCUAUGGUUCCGAAGCGGAACAUAUUGCUGAUUAUGAUGCUGGUGCUGGUGGUGGUUGUGGUGGUGCGAAUGGGGAUGGGGGUGGUGAUUCUGGACAGCGAUCACGUGAGGAACAGGGACAGGCCUAUGAAUCGGGACAUGAAACGGCGAGGGAGGAGGUGGAGGAUAGAUAUGCAUCAUGGCAGCAGGAGGCGGAGGAGGAGGGACGACAGUGAGCCCAGGAGGAGGAGGAGGAGGAGGAGGGAGGUGAGGGAUGUGAGGGUAGAGGGUUGGGUUGAGGCUUGAGAGUCGAGAAAAUGAGAAAUGUGAUCAAAUGAGGGCAGAGCCAA